GAUGAACGCUGGCGGCGUGCCUAAUACAUGCCAGUCGAGCGAACAGACGAGGAGCUUGCUCCUCUGACGUUAGCGGCGGACGGGUGAGUAACACGUGGAUAACCUACCUAUAAGACUGGGAUAACUUCGGGAAACCGGAGCUAAUACCGGAUAAUAUAUUGAACCGCAUGGUUCAAUAGUGAAAGACGGUUUUGCUGUCACUUAUAGAUGGAUCCGCGCCGCAUUAGCUAGUUGGUAAGGUAACGGCUUACCAAGGCAACGAUGCGUAGCCGACCUGAGAGGGUGAUCGGCCACACUGGAACUGAGACACGGUCCAGACUCCUACGGGAGGCAGCAGUAGGGAAUCUUCCGCAAUGGGCGAAAGCCUGACGGAGCAACGCCGCGUGAGUGAUGAAGGUCUUCGGAUCGUAAAACUCUGUUAUUAGGGAAGAACAAAUGUGUAAGUAACUAUGCACGUCUUGACGGUACCUAAUCAGAAAGCCACGGCUAAAUACGU
Molecule: ribosomal RNA, 496 nt
Filed under: uncultured bacterium
Lineage: Bacteria
Description: partial 16S ribosomal RNA
Rfam family: Bacterial small subunit ribosomal RNA
Source: RNAcentral